RNAcentral lists this unclassified non-coding RNA (538 nucleotides) under Zea mays. RNAcentral's name for it is "misc RNA Zm00001eb278040". The record is from RNAcentral. Lineage: Eukaryota; Viridiplantae; Streptophyta; Magnoliopsida; Poales; Poaceae.
CCACUGCCGUGCCGUGGGCUGGCUUCUUCCCCAGCCGCUCCUUCUCAUCUCUCCCUCUACGGUCGAGCUCCCAGCCUGCACUUCGGUUCUCUGCGUGUGGCUUCGCUCCUGGAGCAAAAAUCCCGCCGCCCCUGCGCAGAUUUUUCCAGCGUCUAUAUCUCUGUGCGCAGGUCCAAGCCACCGUUCAGCUCGAGAAGAAAAUCCUACCGUGCUCGAUUCUUCCCUGCGCGUCUCCUCCGCUUGGAGCUUCCUGCGCUCCCUGCGUCCCUAUGUGGCCGGAACUCCCUUCAUGGCCGGAGCUCGGACGGCGCUCGGUCCUGCCGCCUGCCCCAACGUCGACUAUCUCCAGCUCGCCCCCGACCUCUUCUCUCCCUGUCGCGUCGCUCUCUCUCUGCUCGCUCUCCUCCAUGGCCGCCGUGGGCUCGCCGGCGUGGUCCCUGUCCUGGCCACCGUGGUGCCGCGUGCCCAUGUGCCAGCGCAUGCCCAGCUCCUCUCCGUCUGCUCGGUCUUCUUCCUGGAGCGAGCUCUCUUCUCUCCC